Molecule: small nucleolar RNA, 127 nt
Organism: Jaculus jaculus (lesser Egyptian jerboa)
Lineage: Eukaryota; Metazoa; Chordata; Mammalia; Rodentia; Dipodidae
Source: Ensembl
AAGCCAAUUACUCAGCUUAUCUGAAUGUGUUUCUGCAGAAAUUUAGAAAUAGUUGGCAAUACUGUUGUCAUAUUAGGAGGCUUAAGGACAAAUGGUGUCAUUAUGGUCCCUCAAAAUGGCUACAAUA